AACGAACGCUGGCGGCAUGCCUAACACAUGCAAGUCGAACGAGACCUUCGGGUCUAGUGGCGCACGGGUGCGUAACGCGUGGGAACCUGCCCUUAGGUUCGGAAUAACUCCCCGAAAGGGGUGCUAAUACCGGAUAAUGUCUUCGGACCAAAGAUUUAUCGCCUUUGGAUGGGCCCGCGUUGGAUUAGCUAGUUGGUAGGGUAAAAGCCUACCAAGGCGACGAUCCAUAGCUGGUCUGAGAGGAUGAUCAGCCACACUGGGACUGAGACACGGCCCAGACUCCUACGGGAGGCAGCAGUGGGGAAUAUUGGACAAUGGGCGAAGGCCUGAUCCAGCAAUGCCGCGUGAGUGAUGAAGGCCUUAGGGUCGUAAAGCUCUUUUACCCGGGAUGAUAAUGACAGUACCGGGAGAAUAAGCUCCGGCUAACUCCGUG
RNAcentral lists this ribosomal RNA (433 nucleotides) under uncultured bacterium. Its description in RNAcentral is "partial 16S ribosomal RNA". It matches the Rfam family "Bacterial small subunit ribosomal RNA", at positions 29 to 507 of the family's 1533-position model. The record is from RNAcentral.